CCUACGGGAGGCAGCAGUGGGGAAUAUUGCACAAUGUGGGAAACCCUGAUGCAGCGACGCCGCGUGAGCGAGGAAGUAUUUCGGUAUGUAAAGCUCUAUCAGCAGGGACGAAAAAAGACGGUACCUGACUAAGAAGCCCCGGCUAACUACGUGCCAGCAGCCGCGGUAAUACGUAGGGGGCAAGCGUUAUCCGGAUUUACUGGGUGUAAAGGGAGCGUAGACGGCAAGGCAAGCCAGAAGUGAAAGGGCAGGGAUCAACCCUGUACAUGCUUUUGGAACUGUGGUGCUAGAGUGCAGGAGAGGUAAGUGGAAUUCCUAGUGUAGCGGUGAAAUGCGUAGAUAUUAGGAGGAACACCAGUGGCGAAGGCGGCUUACUGGACUGUAACUGACGUUGAGGCUCGAAAGCGUGGGGAGCAAACAGGAUUAGAUACCCGAGUAGUC
Molecule: ribosomal RNA, 441 nt
Filed under: uncultured bacterium
Lineage: Bacteria
Description: partial 16S ribosomal RNA
Rfam family: Bacterial small subunit ribosomal RNA
Source: RNAcentral